This 853-nucleotide small RNA is filed under the name Pan troglodytes (chimpanzee). RNAcentral describes it as "retained intron". Lineage: Eukaryota; Metazoa; Chordata; Mammalia; Primates; Hominidae. The record is from RNAcentral.
CUUGUAGUAUCAACAGUGACCCAGAAGCCAAGUGUUUUGCUGUGCGUUCUCUGGGAUGGGUAGAGAUGGCAGAAGAGGACCUCGCCCCCGGUAAAAGUAGUGUUGCGGUCAACAACUGCAUCAGGCAACUUUCCUACUGCAAAAAUGACAUCCGAGACACGGUCGGGAUUUGGGGAGAGGGGAAAGACAUGUACCUGAUCCUGGAGAAUGACAUGCUCAGCCUGGUGGACCCCAUGGACCGCAGCGUGCUGCACUCGCAGCCCAUCGUCAGCAUCCGCGUGUGGGGCGUGGGCCGCGACAAUGGCCGGGAUUUUGCUUAUGUAGCAAGAGAUAAAGAUACAAGAAUUUUGAAAUGUCAUGUAUUUCGAUGUGACACACCAGCAAAAGCCAUCGCCACAAGUCUCCACGAGAUCUGCUCCAAGAUUAUGGCUGAACGGAAGAAUGCCAAAGCGCUGGCCUGCAGCUCCUUACAGGAAAGGGCCAAUGUGAACCUCGAUGUCCCUUUGCAAGGUAAGUCAGUGGUACCUCAUGUCUUCAUUAUGGCCCUGUCCCUCCUGGUCCAGGACUGAAGGCUCUCAGAUGGUUCUCUGGUAUUUCAAGUCUCCUUAAAGAGCACACUCAACUCAGUAAGCACAAGUUGAGCCCGCACGCUGGGUCUCAGAGGCACAGUUGAUUUUGCAUCACUAGGGUUAGGCACAAAGCCAGGAUGAGUUUUGUUGUUAUUGGACAAGAUUUAAAGAAUAUUGUCUUUAGUUUUUGCCUUCGUUUUCAUUUUGUUUUGUAUUUUAUGUUCUUUAAGAAUACUGUCUUCAUAUUAUAAUUCAUGUACAACCUGGGAUAAGGACCCUGGCUG